GACUCUUGUCUGUGGGCAUGCUUCAUAAUUUUUCAUUAUUUUCUAGAGAUUUCCUAUUUCACAAAUAUUUCUUGGUACAGAUAUCAUUUUACAUGUAGAAAUAAACCUAUCUAGUCUAAAUGCUUAGCUACCAAUCCGUGGAAAUAUCUCCAAGUGGGUGAGCACUAUGGAGUUUUCUCAAGUUCCUCUAUUUAAAAGACAUUAAAUUUUUCUUUUCCCACUGACCCAUUUUAAUUUUUUUUCUUUGAAGAAUGGGAGUCAUGAUGCAUAUGGUGGCAUUGUGCUGCCUGGUGAUGUCACACAAAAUGAAGCCGGUGGGCUUUAGGCAACAGUAUUAAACUUCACCUGAAUUUUGAACAAAUAAGAAUUCUCUCCUUCUAUAACAACUCAAAAGGUAAGAUUAAUUCUGUAUAUUUCUGAAAGACUUUAUUUCCUAAAUUACAAAAGUGACUAUCUUCAGUAAACUCCUAAAUAGAUAAUAGACACAUUUCCUUCUCAGCAUUGACUUCCCAAUAAAUCUGUUUUGUUAAAACGCAUUUAUUUCAACCUUGGGGCUGAAAUUAAAGAUAUGAGAUAUUGUUCUUUGUUGUAUGAAAAACAACCUUCAAGUCACUUUUAUACAGCAAUAUUUGCAGAGAUGUGAAUAAAUGAACUGGAAAUUUUUGAUCCACAUAGGUAAAAUAAAAUAAUUUAGUAUCGUUAUAAUCAGGCAGACCAAAACAUCAAGGUGUGUUCAAAAUGAGGGAAGAAAGCAAGGAUGGAAGAUUCUCUGAAAACAGGACCAAGUCCUGCACCACACCUUACAGAAGAGUAGUUCCAGUUCUACUUACAAUAAAGCAGCAAAAUUAAUCUUAAAGAGAAGAGAGCUGGUGCAGAUCUUCAGGACACCCAAACAUGCCCACGAUGCCUGCCAACUCCAGGAGAAUAGGGAAGGAAGGAGCUGAUCCCUCAGUGAAUACGGAGAGCAGUUAGGAAGCUAAAGCUCCGCCAUAAUUUUACUUCAUUUUUUAAUAAUUCAAUGAAUUGUAUUAUAUUUAUAGUUGUACAACCAUCAUGACAACAUAAUUUUAGAAUAUUUCCAAUAUUCUAAACCCCUAGUCCAUACCUCCCUCCCCUCCCCACCUGUCCUCUUCGGUAAUCAUAAGUUUUUCAAAGUCUUCGAGUCUGUUUCUGUUCUGCAAAUAAGUUCACUUCUAUCUUUUUGAUUUUCUAUUUGAAAAAUGUUGCAUGCCAUUUCUAAUUCACACACACACACACACACACACCCCUGCUAGGGCUUGUGGAAUUCUUUAAAUAAAUCAAAUAGUAAAUGCCUUCUCCAAUUCUAAUUUAAUUAUGAGCACUGAUAAGUUUUCCUGCACUUUGUUAAAGGAAACUCCUUGAAUAAAUUGUGACACAUCCAUUCUGUUCCAUCCAAUAUUGCCAUGCCAUUCAUAAGGAUGAGGGAAAUCUAGAUGUUUUGGCUUGGAAAGAUGAUCACAGUACAUGAAGAUGUGGGGGGAAAGGCAAGCAGCGAAAGAAGAGGUAUAGCUACCCACGUACGCCAGGGUAGCUUAGCUGGUAAGUAGGUAUAAAACAUUUAAAGAAUGAGAUAAGUUAUCUAAGUGACUGCUUUAUAAAUUGAAUAACCGGUCCUUGUGUGAACAAUUUAAAGUUUCAAUUGCAAAACUUCAUACACAAGCAUAACCUGCUCAAUAGUAAAAGAGUCCAUUUCUUUUCAAUCGGCACAAAGAAUAUUUGCCAUUGUUGAGUUAUUCUAUUGAUUACAACAACAACAGUAGAAUAGCUAGGCUGUUUUGUGUUUCUUCUUUCCCUUUCCGGCCCCUCUAUCCUCUAAUUCUUGGGCAACUUUCACAUACAGACUAAUUUUUAAAACUCAUGAGAAGAAUUUAUUCCAGAACAGCACACUCAAGAAAAAAAACCAACAAGAAUUCAGCCUUGCUUCUUUCUAGAAAUUGAAACUGCUCCUGGCUGCUUGGCCCAGAGGAACUCAAAAAUCACAGUUUUAUGUCAUUUCUACUGCAAGCUCUAAAGCAAUCUUGAAGAAAAAAAGAAAAGUAAUCUCUAAUGGGUCACUCUGAGGUGGGAUGAGAAGACAGAAGGACAACCCUUACUUUUCUGGUCAUCAGUCAGAUCUUGUUGCAUGUCUAAUAAGAUAAAUUGUCACAAAAUAGCAAAAGUGUUUCCUUUCAAUAAAGGUGCUGGUUAUGAACAAAUAAAAUAUUUACAGGGUCUUAAAAAUGCACAUUAUUCCUAUUUCUGCCCUCUUAGUAGGCAACAAUUUUGAGACACUUAUUCUUCAUUAUCAGAACAAUAACCACCCAUCUGAACAGUUAACACCUGAUCCUUUGCCAAUAUUUAGUGCCUACAUUAUGCUGGAUCGUUUUACACAAGAAUUAUGCCAACAUCACUGAUCAUUUCUUCUUUAUUUUGCCCUCUCUUUCAUGAAAAUAAAUACAGUUUUACUUGGAAAAACUCUUAGUUCCAAUGCUUACCAAUCUUCCUGAAGUUAUUUUAUUUGAAAACAAACCCUUUCUUAUACCAAACUGAACUCUGCAAGAAUCCAUGGAAUAGCUCAUUUCUAGCUAUUCUAAAUCCAAUUCAUCCUACAUGAACCAGCUAAAAUUAAACCUUACCCCCUAACAGAGCUUCCUCACCCUGAGCACACUUUUAGGGGAGUUCCUCUUUCACUCUUGUCAUCAACUAUAAGCUCUUUUAUCCAUAACAUCAAUGUUUCAAGUAUCCAAGAACUGUUUCUCCACUGGACUCUAGUUCCCAUAGUUCCUGGAAGAAGUAACUAUGACAUACUUUUCUCCUUUCUCUCCUUAGCACAAACCAGGCAUUCAGCCACCACUUCUUGAAUGAAUGAUUGGAUGAAAAAAAAACGAUCAUAUUCCAUGCCUUUUGAAAAGCUUUGGAAGUAACCACCCACGUGUAAAGGUGAUUCUCCCCCAGAUGUUCUAAACCCCCCCUCCAAAUUAUCCAGCUAAUUAAAAGAAGCAAAGACUAGAAUGUUAAAAUAAUAAUAAACACUAAAGGCAGUUUUAGAUUGCAUCUUAAUAGAGUACAUUUGGAAACAUGACUUAAUGAAAUACAAUCCAGUAACACUGUUAUUGUAGGGUAGGCUUUUGGAUUUGGAUUUUUAAGAGUUCCACAGUGGGAGGUAAUAUACUUUAAUGCAAUAUAUAUUUAAUCAUAUAGAAGAGAAAUUAUACCUCCUUAAAGUAUCAUAAGAAGUCCCAAACAAAGACUUCAGGUCCAAACAGACAAGGAGCUGCUUUGAUUUUCCCUGGCUUGAGUAAGACUACCAUAUUUCUGAGCUUCCCAACUGGUGGCCACAUGCUGUUUAAAGGCAUGCUUCCAUACUGAUCUCCUUGUUGGUCCUGGGUUGGGUGGAUGGGGCCUGGGUGGCCAGAGCCCACAGAACAGCUGGAGCCCUUGGACAGUCAUCUUUGGCCACAUAACAACCUUAUUCAUUUACUCUUGUGAGUAUGCCUUAUCCAUAUUGAAUAUGUGUCAUAAUGUGGGAAAGCAUGAGGAGCAUCCAAGGUGACUCUCCU
RNAcentral lists this long non-coding RNA (3560 nucleotides) under Sus scrofa (pig). RNAcentral describes it as "lncRNA (ENSSSCG00030012563.1)". Lineage: Eukaryota; Metazoa; Chordata; Mammalia; Artiodactyla; Suidae. The record is from RNAcentral.